This 76-nucleotide transfer RNA is filed under the name bacterium. RNAcentral's name for it is "tRNA-Arg". It matches the Rfam family "tRNA". From Rfam's summary of the family: Transfer RNA (tRNA) molecules are approximately 80 nucleotides in length. Their secondary structure includes four short double-helical elements and three loops (D, anti-codon, and T loops). The record is from RNAcentral. RNAcentral also lists the same sequence under 3 other names.
GCGUCCGUAGCUCAGAGGAUAGAGCGCAAGGUUGCGGACCUUGAGGUCGGGGGUUCGACUCCCUCCGGACGCGCCA